UACGGAGGGAGCUAGCGUUGUUCGGAAAUACUGGGCGUAAAGCGCACGUAGGCGGCGCAGCAAGUCAGGGGUGAAAUCCCGGGGCUCAACCCCGGAACUGCCCUUGAAACUGCAGUGCUAGAAUCUUGGAGAGGUCAGUGGAAUUCCGAGUGUAGAGGUGAAAUUCGUAGAUAUUCGGAAGAACACCAGUGGCGAAGGCGGCUCACUGGCUCGGUACUGACGCUGAGGCGCGAAAGCGUGGGGAGCAAACAGG
Molecule: ribosomal RNA, 253 nt
Filed under: uncultured bacterium
Lineage: Bacteria
Description: partial 16S ribosomal RNA
Rfam family: Bacterial small subunit ribosomal RNA
Source: RNAcentral